GACCAACUAAGUUUGUUUUGGGUAUAAGCUUUCAUGUGCAUGCACACUUCUUCAGAUACACGAAAGCUUAUACCCAGAACAAACUUAGUUGGUC
Molecule: microRNA precursor, 94 nt
Filed under: Podarcis lilfordi (Lilford's wall lizard)
Lineage: Eukaryota; Metazoa; Chordata; Lepidosauria; Squamata; Lacertidae
Source: RNAcentral